UAGUCAAACAGCCUUCAAGAGUGGUUGUGAGAUGGCAACUAUGGAACCAGAAACCACCCCUAUUCCCAAUCCCCUGCCUACAGAAGAAGAGAAAACAGAAUCUAAUCAGGAGGUUGCUAACCCAGAACACUGCAUUAAAUAAACAACCUUUACAGAACAGAUGGGCACUCUGGUUUUUUAAAGAUGAUAAAAGCAAAACCUUUGAUUUAUCUCUAAGUUCGACACUGUUGAGAACUUUUGGGCUCUGUACAACCAUAUCCAGUUAUCUAGUAAUUUAAUGUCUGGCUGUGACUACUCACUUUUUAAGGAUGGUGUUGAGCCUAUGUGAGAAGAUGAGAAAAACAAACGAGGAGGACAAUGGCUAAUUAUACUGAACAAACAGCAGAGAUGAAGUGACCUCGAUGUUUUUUGGCUAGAGAUACUGCUGUGACUUAUUGGCGAAUCUUUUGAUGACUACAAUGAUGAUGUAUGUGGAGCUGUUGUUAAUGUUAGAGCUAAAGGUGAUGAAAUAGCAAUAUGGACUACUGAAUGUGAACACAGCGAAACUGUUACACAUAUAGGGAGGGUAUACAAGGAAGAGUUAGGACUUCCUCCAAAGAUAGUGACUGGUUAUCAGUCCCAUGCAGACACAGCUACUAAGAGCAGCUCCACCACUAAAAACAGGUCUGUUGUUUCCCAUAGGCAACUGCCUCAAGCAAUCAAGAUUUGGGAGCUGAAGGAAAGCCUCUUCAAAAGCAGGAUGGACUGCAUUUAAAUUUGAGUUCCUUCUAAAUGUUGCUAAGAUAUAAGGAAGUUUCAUUAGCCUUUGUCUUAUACUUCUGUAUUCAUAUAUAUAUAUAUAUUUUUUUUUUAGCUAGAGUGUCCAUUAUCCCAAUCAAAGUAUUACAGUACACAUCAUAUCAUCCCCAGAAUCCAUAAAUGUGCUCCUGGCCCACUCUAUAAAAUAGAAUUAACCAUUACAAAAACAUUUGACCCAUCUACAGCAUUAAAAAAAAGAACUUGCAUUUCUAUACCUUACAAGAGAAGGAUUUUGUUUCCAUUCCAUUGUAUGAAGGAGCGUAUUUUACUGGUUUGAAAGAGUAUGAUGCAUAGCUUUCUGGCAAUUUUGUUUCUUUUCACAGCAUUCUCUGUGCUGUACUCUUGCUGAUGGCUGCUAGAUUUUAUUUGUUUCCCUGUUUGAUAACAUUAGUGACUCUGAUUUCAGUUUUUCACGUGUUUUGCUUUAGUUUUUCUUUCUCAUGUAACAUUGGUGAAGAAUCUAGGAAUAUGACAUAAAGGUAGAAUAAACAUUAAUUUUGUGCCUUUUUUGGUAAUUUUUUUUCGUAACUACAAUGCUUUGCUACAAAUUUAUGCUUUUCAUUCAAAUCACUGAUCUAUGUUUGUGUGAUUUCCUAAACUUAGUUGUGUAUUAUAAAAAAUGUAGUACCAUAAUUACAUUCCUAAUUAGAAUUAGUAUGUCCGUCUUUGUAUCUUUAUGCUGUACUUUAACACUUUGUAUUACUUAGGUUAUUUUGCUUUGGUUAAAAAAUUGGCUCAAGGAGAAAAGCGAUCCCACUCAUUAAAACUGUAAAUAAAAUGUG
RNA transcript from Capra hircus (goat), 1580 nucleotides. It is a transcript of the gene named eukaryotic translation initiation factor 4E-like, with no coding region annotated. The transcript is spliced from 2 exons. Lineage: Eukaryota; Metazoa; Chordata; Mammalia; Artiodactyla; Bovidae. The record is from RefSeq and is a predicted model, not a curated record.